This 87-nucleotide signal recognition particle RNA is filed under the name Vagococcus coleopterorum. RNAcentral describes it as "Bacterial small signal recognition particle RNA". It matches the Rfam family "Bacterial small signal recognition particle RNA". From Rfam's summary of the family: The signal recognition particle (SRP) is a universally conserved ribonucleoprotein involved in the co-translational targeting of proteins to membranes. Archaeal SRP consists of a 7S RNA and homologues of the eukaryotic SRP19 and SRP54 proteins. The record is from Rfam by way of RNAcentral. Lineage: Bacteria; Bacillati; Bacillota; Bacilli; Lactobacillales; Enterococcaceae.
AGGCUAGAGCAAUGGCUUACUAGCUAAUUGGGUCAGGUCCGGAAGGAAGCAGCCCCGUGUUAGUUUAGCCAUGUGCUUGAUUAAAAU